RNAcentral lists this ribosomal RNA (500 nucleotides) under uncultured organism. Its description in RNAcentral is "bacterial SSU rRNA". It matches the Rfam family "Bacterial small subunit ribosomal RNA", at positions 8 to 501 of the family's 1533-position model. The record is from RNAcentral.
AGAGUUUGAUCCUGGCUCAGAUUGAACGCUGGCGGCAGGCUUAACACAUGCAAGUCGAGCGGAGAUGAGGUGCUUGCACCUUAUCUUAGCGGCGGACGGGUGAGUAAUGCUUAGGAAUCUGCCUAUUAGUGGGGGACAACAUUCCGAAAGGAAUGCUAAUACCGCAUACGUCCUACGGGAGGAAGCAGGGGAUCUUCGGACCUUGCGCUAAUAGAUGAGCCUAAGUCGGAUUAGCUAGUUGGUGGGGUAAAGGCCUACCAAGGCGACGAUCUGUAGCGGGUCUGAGAGGAUGAUCCGCCACACUGGGACUGAGACACGGCCCAGACUCCUACGGGAGGCAGCAGUGGGGAAUAUUGGACAAUGGGGGGAACCCUGAUCCAGCCAUGCCGCGUGUGUGAAGAAGGCCUUAUGGUUGUAAAGCACUUUAAGCGAGGAGGAGGCUACUGAGACUAAUACUCUUGGAUAGUGGACGUUACUCGCAGAUAGCCGCCCCGGUGAAA